Molecule: ribosomal RNA, 277 nt
Filed under: uncultured eukaryote
Lineage: Eukaryota
Description: partial 18S ribosomal RNA
Rfam family: Eukaryotic small subunit ribosomal RNA
Source: RNAcentral
UAGUCAUAUGCUUGUCUCAAAGAUUAAGCCAUGCAUGUCUAAGUAUAAGCAUUUAUACUGUGAAACUGCACAUGGCUCAUUAAAUCAGUUAUAGUUUAUUUGAUGGUACCUUACUACAUGGAUAACCGUAGUAAUUCUAGAGCUAAUACAUGCGCCAAGUCCCGACCUCACGGAAGGGAUGUAUUUAUUAGAUAAAAAACCAAUGUGGGUUUUGCCCACUUGUUUGAUGAUUCAUAAUAACUCUACGAAUCGCAUGGCUUCACGCCGGCGAUAGGUC